This 300-nucleotide ribosomal RNA is filed under the name uncultured Oleiphilaceae bacterium. Its description in RNAcentral is "bacterial SSU rRNA". It matches the Rfam family "Bacterial small subunit ribosomal RNA", at positions 114 to 421 of the family's 1533-position model. The record is from RNAcentral. Lineage: Bacteria; Pseudomonadati; Pseudomonadota; Gammaproteobacteria; Oceanospirillales; Oleiphilaceae.
CGCGUAGGAAACUGCCUAGUAGUGGGGAUAGGCCCAGAGAAAUUUGGAUUAAUACCGCAUACGCCCUACGGGGAAAGGGGGCGUUCGGCUCUCGCUAUUAGAUGUGCCUGCGUAAGAUUAGCUUGUUGGUGACGGUAAUGGCUCACCAAGGCGACGAUCUUUAGCUGGGUCUGAGAGGAUGAUCAGCCACACUGGAACUGAGACACGGUCCAGACUCCUACGGGAGGCAGCAGUGGGGAAUAUUGCACAAUGGGCGCAAGCCUGAUGCAGCCAUACCGCGUGUGUGAAGAAGGCUUUCGG